RNAcentral lists this small nucleolar RNA (136 nucleotides) under Carlito syrichta (Philippine tarsier). RNAcentral's name for it is "Small nucleolar RNA SNORA42/SNORA80 family (ENSTSYG00000026480.1)". It matches the Rfam family "Small nucleolar RNA SNORA42/SNORA80 family". From Rfam's summary of the family: The members of this family belong to the H/ACA class of snoRNAs that guide the sites of modification of uridines to pseudouridines. Human ACA42 (SNORA42) was cloned from HeLa cells by immunoprecipitation with anti-GAR1 antibody. Lineage: Eukaryota; Metazoa; Chordata; Mammalia; Primates; Tarsiidae. The record is from Rfam by way of RNAcentral.
GCAUGGGUUUGGAUUUAUGACAGGCUCGUCCCCCUGGGCUUCUCAUUGUACCCCAUGCCAGAGCAAACGGUGUCCUCGAACCAUUGCUUGGCCUCUGUGCCCAUAAGCUGCUGGCACUCAAGAGGGCUACACAGUG